GCAUGGUGGUGUAGAGGGUAUGGAGGUGUACAGGGUAUGGAGGUGUACAGGGUAUGGUGAUGUAAAGGGUAUGGUGGUAUACAGGGUAUGUGGUAUACAAGGUGUGGUGGUGUACAGGGCAUGGUGGUGUACAGGGUAUGGUGAUGUACAGGGUAUGGUGGUGUACAGGGGUAUGGAGGUGUACAUGGUAUGGAGGUCUACAGGGUAUUGAGGUGUACAGGGUAUGUUGGUGUACAGUGUAUGGUGGUGUACAGGGUAUGGAGGUGUACAGGGUAUGGUGGUGUACAGGGUAUGGUGAUGUAUAGGGUAUGG
Molecule: long non-coding RNA, 312 nt
Organism: Oncorhynchus tshawytscha (Chinook salmon)
Lineage: Eukaryota; Metazoa; Chordata; Actinopteri; Salmoniformes; Salmonidae
Source: Ensembl